Molecule: long non-coding RNA, 882 nt
Filed under: Triticum aestivum (bread wheat)
Lineage: Eukaryota; Viridiplantae; Streptophyta; Magnoliopsida; Poales; Poaceae
Description: long non-coding RNA (TAES_LNC003065)
Source: RNAcentral
AAUUUUGUUGAACUGGUCACUGCACGACCAACUUCUUUUGCACCUCAUAAUUUUGUUCAACAUCAUAAUAUGUGUUUUACCUGGCCGGCUUCAUAAUUUUGUUUCUUAUAUAUGCAGGUUCAUGGUUCUGAAGUUAAUUCCUUUCAGCUUCAAACUGAAAUAAUUCCUCUCUGUUCCCGCACCAUGGAGACGGGCACUAAACUUUCAAAAACAAUAUGAAGUUAACCCUUUCUGUACAUCCGAUGACCCUAUUGUUCUGGUAAAUGUUUUCAUUAUUGCCUAAUUGUGCAAGUGAUUGACACUUUCUGGUUGUGCUAAAUUUCAGUCCUAUAAAUUUUCUUUGAGUAUGUUAAAAAGAUGGAGCCAUAUCUCACUGGGAUUUGUGCAGUAAACUGUUUUUCUUUUCCAUUCUUGCAAAUGAGGCACAUGAUAGAUCACAUCUAUGUAGAGUAUUGGAGAUCCAUGCCCCAUGUUGUUGUCCAGAAUUGAAACAUUUAACAAUACCAGUUCACCAAAUAUUGCCCCGAGGAUUACAGGCAAGCAGUACCAAUCUGGAUGAUUGGUACAGGCAGGCUACCCUUAUGCUUGACGAGGAAUCUGCAACGUAAUGGAACAAGUAAAUAUUAAAGGUGUUGCAGUUUAGGUGGCAUUUUUUUUACAAAGGGCGGAGCGAGUUUCUUUCUUCUUUUUCCCGAUGAGCAUGUUGACCCUUGUGGACAAUUGUACAUGGCACCUUCCUGAUGUAUGAGUUCAUUUAAGGUUAUAUUCUUUUUGUACUCAUGUUACUUGUGAUGAUAUUAUGGUCUUGAUAAUGUGCAAUUUACCCUAUGCUUCCAGAUGCAUUUGCUUAAUUAAUCAAAAGGGAUGAUGUGUUUUGUGUUA